GUGGUUUUGUUACUGCAGUGUGCCUGAUGCCCUCUUUUUGCCUCUGGUUGUGUCUAACAGCUUCUUACUCAAGCCCUUUGGAUUGCAAAUUCCAGAUAGUUUACUUACAUUUAAUUUUGGUUUCUCACAUGAAGCCACAGCCAGAAACCACAUCCCCAGAUGAGAGAACAGGGUUGUGCUGCUAAUUAAUGCCCUGCCAAUUUAUCAUACCAAGCCUAAGCUCCCAGCACAAGUGGCCACAUGUUGCACUCUGCUCUAAAUUUGCCCAGGAGAACAAAUGGAAACUACACUGGUUCUUUUUUAGAAAAGGGAAAAUUAAAAUUAAAGCAAAUGUCAAAGAUACUCUGAGGUCCUUUGUUGCACUUAACAGUCCAUUAUUCCUAUUGAUUCAUCUCGAGUGCAUGCAGCACAUCUAAGCCUCAGCACAGGGCGAGUCUGAAGUCUGUCGGGAGGGAACUGACCUGUGCCGAGGCCAAGUGAUGGGCAGAUGAGCAUCAGCCCCGGGUCCUCCAGCACUGCAAGCAAACCCCAGGGGCACUCAUCACACAGGCAGCUGAUGCUGGUUUUUGGCAGGGGCCCAGCUAGAAGGCACACGCAGGGAGGGCAGAGAGCCUGUGAUGAGCAGUGUCUGUACGAGCACCCAAAGGAAGCCAUAAGACAGUGAUGCGGCAUGACAAGGGCAGCACCAUUGCUGCCAACCUUCCAGUUGCCUUUCUGCUUUGUACUCUGCCCUGCAGAGAUCAGCCUGAGCUCACCAGAUCGCUCCAAGAAGUCAGCACAAGUACAUCCCAGCAGGCGUGCGUACUGCCACCGCUUGAGAUGCCAGCUGGGGAGAGCAGUUGGAUGUGAAGCAUCUCAGAAGGGCUGCACUGACUCACCGACUGGGACAGCCGUACUGCGAACAUCUUGCACCCGAGGCCCCCAGCCGCUCUGCAACAUCUGUUAAUUCUCACAACAUGCUAUGGUGUCGAUUUUUAUUGCUCUAUUUUUGCAGAGGUAAAGAGCUGGAAGAAUAGGUGACUGAAGAUGGAAAGAUAGCUGGGUCUUCUAUAAGAUUACCAAGCUUGCAGGUCUCCUUCUUAAAUGUUGGAGGAAGUUUUACUUAGAGCUCUGGAGCUGGGUGGGGACAGCAAUGCCAAAAAGGGAUCAGGAGGGCACGGCUGCCCCCCAAGACUGUAGCUACAUGGCAAUCUGUAGCUAAUGGUGCCAUCCAUUGGCACAGUGUGGAGAAGGGAGGCUUUUAGAGAGAGGAUUUCCCUUCUCAAAGGCAUUAGCACUUACUUAGAUAACUAAAAAGAGCAUUCAUGUCAAUCUGAUGCCAUUAUGUUUAAUGGAGCUGAAUGCGUGACUUCUGCUGAAAUAAAAUAGUCUUACAGCAGUGGGAGGAGAGAGAG
Molecule: long non-coding RNA, 1394 nt
Filed under: Anas platyrhynchos platyrhynchos (common mallard)
Lineage: Eukaryota; Metazoa; Chordata; Aves; Anseriformes; Anatidae
Description: lncRNA (ENSAPLG00000020819.1)
Source: RNAcentral